Molecule: long non-coding RNA, 1914 nt
Filed under: Mytilus galloprovincialis (Mediterranean mussel)
Lineage: Eukaryota; Metazoa; Mollusca; Bivalvia; Mytilida; Mytilidae
Source: RNAcentral
GACCAUGAGGAUCAAAAACAGAAAAAAAAUCCUGCAGUGUUUGUUCCUUUGUUCCUUGAUCUAUAUUGUAUAUACGAAUUGCAAUUUUGCUAGUAGUGAUGAUACAAAGACACGGGAGCUUUAUAUAUAUCAAUAUAUCAAACAAGUAAGUUAAAAACAUUCACAAACAGGGAAAACGAUGACCAAAACAAAAACAAGGAAAUGGAAAACAAUAUUCCACAAAACACAAACAAGUAGAGAUCAAGCAACAUAGAUCCACUUACAAAAUGGAUGUUACUUGUGUUAUUGGUGUUAUUGGUGUUAUGGAUAUACCAGUCUUUUGUCCAUUUAAUAUAUACUCUAGUCAUUACUAUUCAAGAGGUUGAAAUUCAAAGUCAGCAAGACUUGUUUUUGUACAUAUUAUGUUAUUUUUUUUUUAUGUAAUUGACAAAUUUAGACGGAACAUUCUUAGAAUGAUUUAUUAUGGAUGGUAGGCCGUGUCAAUGCCAAAAUUAUCUUCUCGUUUUUCUUGUAUUCACAUCAUUGAAAAGAUAGGGGUCCAUUAAACAUCUGUCGAAUUCGUGAUGAAAUUCAACGUUUUAUUUUAUGUUUGGGGUAUAUUGAAUAUGAACAGUUUUGGGGUAUCCAAAAAACGGUCGAAAACACUUGUAGUUAUUUAUCAUUGUGUGUUCAUUACAAAUACCUAUGACUGUAAAAAUGCAUAGAAGAAACAUAUCUUAACGUUAAUCUAAAAUACCAUGGUAAUACUAAUAACCUAAAUGUUAAAAAAUGGAUUUUAAGUUAUUGUUAAGGGAAAAAAUUCCGGCCAUCUCAGAUAACAUUUUUUUUCAAACUUUUCUAACAAAAAAUACGUUUAGUUCCUGAAAAAAAAAUGCUUAAACAUAUAUUGGUUAUAAAUCUUGAGAGUCGAACACUUUUAUCGAACUUCAUUGUUUGAAAUUUUGAAAAUCUAUGAACAAAUUGGCUUACAAGGCACAAGAAAAAAAAGGAAAAUUUUGGGACUCAUUUCUUCAGUUGUACAAACUGUCUGCAUUCUUUUUAUGUGCAUAGGUCAAAAGUGUACUGUUUCAAUGACGAAUCAACAUAGCACAAUUAUGUUUUGUUUUAUACCCACAGACUACAAAAUGCCCCUGUCAUCAAUAGCAGACGCUAUUUGAAUUCAUUGUUUUGACAUUCUGUCACAAUCUAUGUACUAUCGUUGUGCUAAUUUAGAUUUUCUAUUUACCGGAUUGAAAUUAAAUGUAUUUACAAAAAAAAUACCGUUUACAAAGCUGCAAUUCAGAAAUAUAUCAAUAUUUUUGGGAAAAGACGGUAAAAAAUAACAGUAAAAAUGAUAAUAAACACUAAAAGACUCAUCAGUGACACUCGAAUUAUAAAACAAAAAAUAAAAAGUACAAAAGUAGAGACUAUUAAAGAUCAAAAUUUCACAAAGGCUUUGCAAAAUACAACUAACAAAUGAUAACAUUGUCAACAUUGCUUUGAAAAUAAUAAACCUUAUUUCUAAACUUGCUAUCUUCAUACAAUUAUCUGAGUUAACAAUGUGUUUCCACUCAAUUAACAACAAUAUACUAGCAUAAAUAUUUCAACUUCAGGCGAUCAAUUUGUUUAUUACAAACAUUUGUAUUAGCUCUUUUAAAAUGAUACUGAUACCUGAAAUAUAUGCGAUCAUUAUUUUUGCUUUAUUUUUCAGGAUGGGUUUAUGGACUCAGUCCUCGGAGAUUAUAAACCAGAAAAAAGACGUCUAUUGCAUACGUACUGUAAGAUAGAUCAUAUCAGACAUGUAUUAGAAUGUAACAAACAAAUAACCAAAAUCGAUCGCAUUAACUUAUAUAUUGAUAUCAAAACGUAUAAUCCCUCUUAUUAUAACCUUUAUAAUGUUUCAUCCAGAAAAAAAACAACAUGUGAACAGUGGAA